AGCGAACGCUGGCGGCAGGCUUAACACAUGCAAGUCGAGCGGGCACUUCGGUGUCAGCGGCAGACGGGGGAGAAAAACGUGGGAACGUGCCCUUUGGGUCGGGAUAACGCUGGGAAACAAGCGCUAAUAUCGGAUACGCCCCUUUGGGGAAAGGCUUGCUGCCGAAGGAUCGGGCCGCGUCUGAUUAGCUAGUUGGUGGGGUAAUGGCCUACCAAGGCGACGAUCAGUAGCUGGUCUGAGAGGAUGAUCAGCCACACUGGGACUGAGACACGGCCCAGACUCCUACGGGAGGCAGCAGUGGGGAAUAUUGGACAAUGGGCGCAAGCCUGAUCCAGCCAUGCCGCGUGAGUGAUGAGGGCCUUAGGGUUGUAAAGCUCUUUUGUCCGGGACGAUAAUGACGGUACCGGAAGAAUAAGCCCCGGCUAACUUCGUG
Molecule: ribosomal RNA, 433 nt
Filed under: uncultured bacterium
Lineage: Bacteria
Description: partial 16S ribosomal RNA
Rfam family: Bacterial small subunit ribosomal RNA
Source: RNAcentral